UACAGAGGGUGCGAGCGUUGUCCGGAAUCACUGGGCGUAAAGGGCGCGUAGGCGGCUUGAUAAGCGUGCGGUGAAAGCCCGGGGCUCAACCCCGGGUCGGCCGUGCGAACUGUCGAGCUGGAGCACUGUAGAGGCAGGUGGAAUUCCGGGUGUAGCGGUGGAAUGCGUAGAGAUCCGGAAGAACACCAGUGGCGAAGGCGACACGCUGGGCCGUACCUGACACUGAUGCGCGACAGCAUGGGGAGCAAACAGG
This 253-nucleotide ribosomal RNA is filed under the name uncultured bacterium. Its description in RNAcentral is "partial 16S ribosomal RNA". It matches the Rfam family "Bacterial small subunit ribosomal RNA", at positions 524 to 776 of the family's 1533-position model. The record is from RNAcentral.